Molecule: long non-coding RNA, 767 nt
Filed under: Homo sapiens (human)
Lineage: Eukaryota; Metazoa; Chordata; Mammalia; Primates; Hominidae
Description: HSALNT0316406
Source: RNAcentral
AACAGCCUUAUCUGCCGCCCUAGAGCCUUUUCCCUAUAACAGUGAAAUCAACAAUGACUGUGUCAGGAGAGAUCUUUAACUUAUUAUUUAUUACAAGAUAUUCUAAUGUUUAAAGAGCAAUCCAACAUAAAUGAAGAGAACAUAAGAAACAGCAUACACAAUACUGGACAUCACAGGACCCUCUCCGGCUGGAUACCAGGCUGUAGAACCACCAGAUGCUUCAGAUGAGAAAGGUUGGAUCUGUUUCACAGGGAAGGGGCUAAACUGUUUCAAGAGGCGACCACGCGCUGGGCACUCUGUGUCUCGCUCUGUCACCCAGGCUGGAGUGCAGUGGUGUGAUCUCGGUUCACUGCAACCUCAACCUCCUCGGCUCAUGUGGAUCCUCCCACCUCAGCUUCCUAAGUAGCUGAGACUACAGUACUUUGCAACCUACCAAGUAUCAUCACAAGAGCUAUGAAAGUGAAGAGAGACAUACGUUAUCUAAGAAUCUGAGAGAGAUGACUCAGUCAGCAUCCUCUCUCUUGGUGUACAAUGGUAGGGACAGCUACUGUGUCAUCUGGAGCAUGACAAUGAGAACACAGACACUGGAUCGUCCUGAUAUAGCCUGCAGUCCAUCUGGGCCUCUAGACAUUCAUUUGCAUUUGCAUUCAUGCGCAUCCCCUACUACUCCAACUCCUACACCUUUUGGCAGGAUAUAUCCACACAGCUGGAUUGGAAUCACAAGAUGUUUUUAUUUUUUGCCUCAUUAAACUAGUUUCUCUCAAGCA